RNAcentral lists this ribosomal RNA (489 nucleotides) under uncultured bacterium. RNAcentral describes it as "partial 16S ribosomal RNA". It matches the Rfam family "Bacterial small subunit ribosomal RNA", at positions 28 to 507 of the family's 1533-position model. The record is from RNAcentral.
GACGAACGCUGGCGGCGUGCUUAACACAUGCAAGUCGAACGGUGAAGGGACCAGCUUGCUGGUUCUGGAUGAGUGGCGAACGGGUGAGUAACACGUGAGUAACCUGCCCCCUUCUUCUGGAUAACCGCAUGAAAGUGUGGCUAAUACGGGAUAUUCUGGGUCUGUCGCAUGGCGGGCCCGGGAAAGAUAUUGCUUCGGUGGGGGAUGGGCUCGCGGCCUAUCAGCUUGUUGGUGGGGUGAUGGCCUACCAAGGCGGUGACGGGUAGCCGGCCUGAGAGGGGGGACGGUGACACUGGGACUGAGACAAGGCCCAGACUCCUACGGGAGGCAGCAGUGGGGAAUAUUGCACAAUGGGCGCAAGCCUGAUGCAGCGACGCCGCGUGAGGGAUGGAGGCCUUCGGGUUGUAAACCUCUUUCGCCAGUGAAGCAGGCCUGCUCCUUGUGGGUGGGUUGACGGUAGCUGGAUAAGAAGCGCCGGCUAACUACGUG